This is a non-coding RNA of Ailuropoda melanoleuca (giant panda), 328 nucleotides long. The record is from Rfam. Lineage: Eukaryota; Metazoa; Chordata; Mammalia; Carnivora; Ursidae.
UAAGCCCUGCUCAGAAGUCAAGAGCAGCAGCCCCGCCGCCUCGGCGCGGCCUUUCAAGACGCGGUCGCUCCUUAUUCUUGUGCCUCGGCCUCUCUGGUCGCCCCGGGACAAAGCCAUCGGAGCCCGGCCUCUCCCUUCCCGCUAAAUCCCCUUCGGGGUCAAUGCGCUACCAGCACCGGGCCGCUGGAUCUAGCCCCCCACGCCGACGCCUUAGGUCCCUGCUGCCCCGACCGAUGCCUGCGGACUUCUAGCCCCCUCCCUUCUCCUCCUCCCCUGAGCAGUUCGUGGGCCUGGCCUUAGGGCCAUAGGGCUGAGUUUUACCCCCGUU